GCGCGAAAAAGCCGUUCUCAUAACAAAACACUGUCUAUAACCAUAUUACAAUAAUAAACUCUUGAUCUUUUGAUUUCUUGAGCAUAUUGUAAUUUUAUACAUUACAAAAUAAGUGCAAAGAUAAAAAUUUAUUAAGUUAUAUUAGGAGUAAAAUAAAAUUAUUUAGGAGUCUGUUUUAUUACAGUUUUAUCACUGUUAAAUGAUUUAUGCCGCAUUAUUUGCUCAAAAUCCAUAACUGUACUGUAAUUAUUACAAGUAAAUAUGAAUAACGCACGAAAAAGGAAACUGUUACCAUCUAAACGUCGUAUUAGACGUAUUAGACGAAUUAUUGCAGAUAAAACAGGCAUUGACAUUGCAGCAUGUUGUGAAGAAUCUCAAAAGAAGCGUAUAUCUGUAUUUCUAUUGAAGAUCCCUGCGAUUCAGAUGUAAUUGAAAUUUUUAAUAAGGGAACUCAUACAUUUGUACUAUACAUAGCACUAAUGUAGACAAUGAGAGAUUGUUUUCUAACAAUGAAUAUGCAAAUUAUCAUGGACAAUGUGAGACUAAUUUAUACAAAGGAAUAGUGAUAAUUUAUACAAUAUUACUACUGACAAUAUUAAGAGCAAUAAUAAAAGGGAAUUGAAGAACGCAAUUAAUAGUUACAUAGGCUAUUGUAAUGAGCCCUCACAAAUACAAACAUUAUUACAAACUUCAAGAAAAAAAAGAUAACGUCAGAUGUAAAGGAGAAUUUUAUCAUUGGCAUCUAGAUAAUUCAAAAAAAGUUAUUAAGAUAAAAUGUGAUAAAAUUAAAUCAAUUUACUUAUAAAUAUUAAUAGUCUUUUAUUAGGAAAAAUCAAACGUUUAUCAUAACCAAUUUUAUGCUCAAAUUGAAAAUAUGGUGUGCAACAACAUGUUUACUACUGCAGUCUUGGACAAAGAUGUUGAUUCAUUCAUUCAAAGCAAGAAUAUGUUACAGCGAUGUUUGUGAUGAUAAAGAAGAUGAUAGUGAAGUAAGAAGAAUCUUCUUUCUGCUCAUGAAUUCAAAAUAUUAUACAAAUCUCAUUAAAACAAAAU
Wasmannia auropunctata (little fire ant) is the source of this 1053-nucleotide long non-coding RNA. RefSeq lists it as uncharacterized. The transcript has 5 exons. The record is from RefSeq and is a predicted model, not a curated record. NCBI's taxonomy places the organism in Eukaryota, Metazoa, Arthropoda, Insecta, Hymenoptera, Formicidae.